AGAAAGGAGAAGAACCCCAUUUCAUUAUCUCUCGCUGUUGUCCUAGUUGCGGGAGAAAACGCAGAAGAAGACCUUGUGAAAACAAUUGGAAUUGGAAUGACAAAGGGUUUUCUAGCUACUUUACUUUUUGACGAUAAAGGCUCUGUUUGGUAACACAAAUAAGCUAGCUUAUAACUUAUUAUAUGAGCUUAUAAGCUUGUUUCAAAA
This 207-nucleotide long non-coding RNA is filed under the name Trifolium pratense (red clover). RNAcentral describes it as "long non-coding RNA (TPRA_LNC005020)". Lineage: Eukaryota; Viridiplantae; Streptophyta; Magnoliopsida; Fabales; Fabaceae. The record is from RNAcentral.